Molecule: long non-coding RNA, 3287 nt
Filed under: Salmo salar (Atlantic salmon)
Lineage: Eukaryota; Metazoa; Chordata; Actinopteri; Salmoniformes; Salmonidae
Description: lncRNA (ENSSSAG00000107783.1)
Source: RNAcentral
GAUUGAUGAGGACUUGUUUUUAUUUAAUCCAUUUUAGAAUAAGGCUGUAACGUAACAAAAUGUGCAAAAUGUCAAGGGGUCUGAAUACUUUCCGAAUGCACUACUUGGUAUUCAGGCAGACACUCUUUGUGUGAGAGCCACAAUCCAAGGCGAGGCAGACGUGAUGAUCUGCCAAGAAGAUAGGCAACGAUGGCAACUCAAGGCGAGCGCAUGUCUCAAUGACAGAACACCUGUCAUAUUGUCUGAACAGCCUGUUCACUCUCCUGUUCCUACUACACAAACUAGAACAGAAACCAAGCCAAAGUAAACCCUGACAGUGCACAGGGGUUAAGAGACAGGAAGACAGAGAGAGACACACACAUUAAGAGGAGAGGAGAGAGAGAGAGAGAGAGAGACACACGAAGAGGGGAAAAUAGAGAGAGAGACAUGAAGAGGAGAGGGGAAAAGAGAGAGAGAGACACGAAGAGGAGAGGGGAAAGGAGAGAGAGAGAGAGACACGAAGAGGAGAGGGGAAAGGAGAGAGAGAGACACAAAGAGGAGAGGGGAAAGGAGAGAGAGAGAGAGAGACACGAAGAGGAGAGGGGAAAGGAGAGAGAGAGACACAAAGAGGAGAGGGGAAAGGACAGAGAGAGAGUCACACACACAAAGAGGGGGGGAGAAGGCUAGAACCCAAGAAAGACAUGGAGAGGGGGACUUUGACAGAUAGAGAGAAGGGUUUAGAGACAUGGGGGAGAGAAGGGCUUAGAGACAUGGGGGAGAGAAGGGGGGUGGAGAGGUGAACACAGAGGUGGAGAGGUGUAAAGAGCAUCCUGUCGGGCUGUAUCACUGCUGUAUCACCUGGCACAGCAAUUGCACCGUCCGCAACCGCUGGGCUCUCCAGAGGGUGGUGUGGUUAGCCCAACGCAUCAUCGGGGGCACAGUGCCUGCCCUCCAGGACAUCUACAGCACCCGGUUUCAUAGGUAGGUCAAGAAGAUCAUCAAGGACCUCAGCCACCCGAGCCAAAGCCUGUUCACCCCGCUACCAUCUAGAAUGCAGAGAGCAUACAGGUGCAUCAAAGCUGGGACCGAGAGACGGCUUAUAACACCAGGUCAUCAGACUGUUGGUCACCACUAGCCGGCCUCCACCCAGUACCCUGACCUGAAGCUUAGCCACUGUUGCUAGCCGGCUAACACCCGGUACUCUACCCUGCACCUUUGAGACUGCUGCCCUAUGUACAGAGAGUCAUUGAACACUGGUCACUUGAAUAAGGUUUGCAUACUGUUUAACCCACUUUAUAUGUAUACAGUGUACUCUAGUCAUGGUUCAUCCUACAUAAGUACUAAUGUACACACCUUUUGCUGUUCAUAUAUUGUCCAUGCUGUCUAUACACACCAUAUAUCGCGUAUAUUCCGGACUGACAAUACUCAUUCUGAUAUUGCUUAAUUUCUUCAUUCAACUUUUUGGAUUGUGUGUGUAUUGUUUUGUCUUGCUGGGCAUUACUGCACUGUUGGAGAUUUUUACUCCUCGUCCACCUAGACUUCACACAUGAAAAUGUUAUAUUCAGUUGAAUAUACUCCUUUAACCUCUUUCUUUUAAUAUAUAUUCGAGGAGAUAAAAUUGGAACCAGUUGAAUAACAUCCAGUCCCCUAACAAGGCCUCUGAACUGUAAAAUGUUUCAUUUAUAGUGUAAUUAAAGAAACGACAUGAAAUGAACAUGUGAUGGCCAGACGAACCGGUGGUCAUUGACUAUGUAUGAGUUGUAAUAGAGGUCUGCUGUUCUGCAGCACAGUCCUCCUCACUCCACCAGAGGGCAGCAGAACCACCAGAAUGGGACCCAGGGAAUCCCCCACUUACUGUACUGACCUAAUGCUAAUAAAUCAAAUGAGUGUUUAGAUCACUAAUUGGUCAUUACUAUCCUAGCCUUCUCUCCUUUUGGACUCUGUUUUUACUAAGAGCGGCUUCGGCUGCCGUCACGACCCACAAGCACCAGCGACCUCGGAUACGUCGAUGUUCUUGUGCUGUCCGAACACAUUACAUCUAAUUCGGUGUUGGGAGUUUGUAUGUAUGAAAAACGAGGCGGAGGGUGCAGUACUCCGUUUCCGCCACCAUGGAGCAAGGGGGUCCUCUUUUGCAGCAGAGCGUGGCUGUUGCCAGUGGAAUGAAUCACUCACCAUACGCAUAUUCCUGGAGAACUGCCAGGCGCACGACGACGAUGAGGCUAAUUUCAGCCCCGUUCCCAUGCCGCCUGGACGCCUUCGAAGGAUCUGGCCAACGCCACCACUGAAAUGCUGCGGACUCUGGCCCAGGUCUUUAUCGAUUCAGAUACAGAAGUGAUCACACAUUUGGAGUUAGGUACAUUUUCUCCUAUGCAGGAGGGAUGGGGGAAAGGGGAGGUAUAGUAGGCUACAGCGUCAGAUGGUAACAGUCACAGAACGAUCCAGUGCUGUGCCCCCGGAUAGGGUCUCACUGCACCACACUGAGAAUAUGAGAUGCGGAGGACCAAUGAGGACGAUGGUGGGGUGUGAAAAUGUGACAAUGAGAGAUAUGGAGAGUGCGUACAUGAGUGCACAUUCUGGCAAGGAAGAGUGUGUUUAUGCAGAACAUGUGUGUGUGCAUGUGGCAGAGCGAUAAAGAAGGAUAUUGUGUGCAUGCACGUGCAUACAGUAUGUGUGUGUCACAGGAGGUUGGUGGCACCUUAAUUAGGGAGGACGGGCUUGUGGUAAUGGCUGGAGCGGAGUGGUGGAAUUGUAUCUAUCGAACAAGUGGUUUCCAUAUGUUUGAUUCCAUUCCAUUUGCUCCAUUCCGGCCAUUAUUAUGAGCCAUCCUCCCCUCAGCAGCCUCCACUGGUGUGUGUGUGUGUGUGUGUGUGUGUGUGUGUGUGUGUGUGUGUGUGUGUGUGUGUGUGUGUGUGUGUGUGUGUGUGUGUGUGUGUGUGUGUGCGUGCACAUGGCAAGGGGGGAAAAGAGUGUGUUUAUGCAGAGGAGAGUGUGAAUGUGACAGAGAGGCGAGGAGAGUCAUUGUAGGCUUGUGUUCAAGCUGGAGAGAGUGUGUGUCUGGCUAUGAGCAUGAGGCUGCUGGAGAGAGAGAGUGAGGUUGAUUGAUGAUGAAAAGUAAAUAUGUGUGUGUGUUAACAGGCAGUGGUAGAGUGUGUACUCUGCAGUGUGUGUGAAGAAAGUGUGUUUGUGUGUGUGUGAAGAUAUAUUUACAUAACAGACAACGGAAACCGAGUAUAUAUGUUCUGUAUGCAAAAUACUCAGCAUACAUACUUAUGUAGCAGAUGUCUCCAAGCAGAAUAAAAAUAAAGGCC